Molecule: non-coding RNA, 82 nt
Organism: Trichonephila clavipes
Lineage: Eukaryota; Metazoa; Arthropoda; Arachnida; Araneae; Nephilidae
Source: the annotation of a GenBank genome assembly
GAUAUGAUGGCCGUGUGGUUAAGGGGAUGGAUUGCUAAUACAUUGGGCUCUGCCCGUGUGGGUUCGAAUCCCAUUUACGUCG